GAUGAACGCUGGCGGUGUGCUUAACACAUGCACGUCGAACGUGAUCUCUGUGGAAAUUCUUUCGGGAAUGGAAAUGAUAUGAAAGUGGCGAACGGGAGAGCAACACGUGAGCAAUCUACCUUAAACAGGGGGAUAGCCGUUGGAAACGACGACUAAUACCGCAUGAGACCACAGAAUCGCAUGUCAUAGGGGUCAAAGAUUAAUCGGUGUAAGAAGGGCUCGCGUCUGAUUAGCUGGUUGGAAGGGGAAAGGCCUACUACGGGGAGGAUCAGUAGCCGGUAUGAGAGAAUGGACGGCCACAUUUGAGCUAGGACACAGUCCAGACUCCUGCAGGAUGCGGCAAUGGGUAAUAUAGCACUAUGGGGUGAGCCCUGAUGCAGUGACGGCGGUUAAGCGAAGAAGUUUUGCAAAACAAAAAGCACUGUCCUAUGAGGAGGUAAUGACGGUAUCAAAGGAAGAAGCCCCGGCUAAAUACGUG
RNAcentral lists this ribosomal RNA (478 nucleotides) under uncultured bacterium. RNAcentral's name for it is "partial 16S ribosomal RNA". It matches the Rfam family "Bacterial small subunit ribosomal RNA", at positions 28 to 507 of the family's 1533-position model. The record is from RNAcentral.